UGGGGAAUAUUGGGCAAUGGGCGCAAGCCUGACCCAGCAACGCCGCGUGAAGGAAGAAGGCUUUCGGGUUGUAAACUUCUUUUAUGAGGGACGAAAAAAAUGACGGUACCUCAUGAAUAAGCCACGGCUAACUACGUGCCAGCAGCCGCGGUAAUACGUAGGUGGCAAGCGUUAUCCGGAUUUACUGGGUGUAAAGGGCGUGUAGGCGGGACUGUAAGUCAGGCGUGAAAAUUAUGGGCUCAACCCAUAACCUGCGUUUGAAACUAUAGUUCUUGAGUGUCGGAGAGGUAAUCGGAAUUCCGUGUGUAGCGGUGAAAUGCGUAGAUAUACGGAGGAACACCAGUGGCGAAGGCGGAUUACUGGACGAUAACUGACGCUGAGGCGCGAAAGCGUGGGGAGCAAACAGGA
RNAcentral lists this ribosomal RNA (408 nucleotides) under uncultured Pseudoflavonifractor sp. Its description in RNAcentral is "bacterial SSU rRNA". It matches the Rfam family "Bacterial small subunit ribosomal RNA", at positions 355 to 777 of the family's 1533-position model. The record is from RNAcentral. Lineage: Bacteria; Bacillati; Bacillota; Clostridia; Eubacteriales; Oscillospiraceae.